RNAcentral lists this ribosomal RNA (461 nucleotides) under uncultured bacterium. Its description in RNAcentral is "SSU rRNA". It matches the Rfam family "Bacterial small subunit ribosomal RNA", at positions 26 to 522 of the family's 1533-position model. The record is from RNAcentral.
AGAAUCAACGCUGGCGGCGUGCCUAACACAUGCAAGCCGCACGAGAAAGGGUAGCAAUACCUGAGUAAAGUGGCGCACGGGUGAGUAACACGUGAAUUAUCUACCUCCGAGUGGGGAAUAACUGAGAGAAAUCUUAGCUAAUACCGCAUAACACUUACGAGUCAAAGCAGCAAUGCGCUUGGAGAGGAGUUCGCGGCAGAUUAGUUAGUUGGCGGGGUAAUGGCCCACCAAGACGAUGAUCUGUAUCCGGCCUGAGAGGGCGCACGGACACACUGGAACUGAAACACGGUCCAGACUCCUACGGGAGGCAGCAGUGGGGAAUUUUGCGCAAUGGGGGAACCCUGACGCAGCAACGCCGCGUGGAGGAUGAAUAUCUUGGUAUGUAAACUCCUUUCGAUGGGGAAGAUUAUGACGGUACCCAUAGAAGAAGCCCGGCUAACUUCGCGCCAGCAGCCGCGUAA